UACGUAGGGCGCAAGCGUUGUCCGGAAUUAUUGGGCGUAAAGAGCUCGUAGGCGGCUUGUCACGUCGGAUGUGAAAGCCCGGGGCUUAACCCCGGGUCUGCAUUCGAUACGGGCAGGCUAGAGUGUGGUAGGGGAGAUCGGAAUUCCUGGUGUAGCGGUGAAAUGCGCAGAUAUCUGGAGGAACACCGGUGGCGAAGGCGGAUCUCUGGGCCAUUACUGACGCUGAGGAGCGAAAGCGUGGGGAGCGAACAGG
Molecule: ribosomal RNA, 253 nt
Filed under: uncultured bacterium
Lineage: Bacteria
Description: partial 16S ribosomal RNA
Rfam family: Bacterial small subunit ribosomal RNA
Source: RNAcentral